GUGGAUCUGUUCCCGGAGCGAGCAUGCUCACAACCAGCCGACUCUCCCAUUAUCCCACUGCCUAGUUUGGUGCUCCCGUGUACAUGGCUAUUCUGUGUGCAUAUGUGUGUGUACAAACACGCAUGCAUGCCUGGAUGGACAGACGUAUGCAGAGGUUAUUUUUUAAGGGCAAUUCUUUCAAUAAGGUCUUUACCCCUUACUUGAAACAGGUGUUCAUGAAAAAAAUGCACAAAAUCCUGACUGGCCGGAAUAAUUCAUGAAGAAAGGGCUGGAUCCGUGGGGUCAGAGAACACAGGACCAGGUUGCCACCCCAAGGCCGAAGUCUGGUGACUCGGAUUUGGCCCUGCGUUGCCCACUCCUGCUGCAUCUUACCCAGUCGAGGGAUGAAAGGUCUUGGCACCUUCCUGAAGCAUGAGAAGAAAGGAGGUUCUGAAAGCACAGAUCCAAGACCACCAGAGGCCGAAGACACCGAUCCCUGGAGGGGCCACUCACACACCGCCAGGAGCCAAGGAGAGCUGGACCUGGAGGAACAUGGACCCAACAAGGAUGGAAAUACCAGCAAUCCCAAAGGUCAUCUACAUCUGUGCCCAGGGAGCUAUGUGGGGCCCACUGAGUGGAAGAUAAUGCAGCGGCUGCUCUGUCACUUUGCAACUGCAGAAGCUGGAACAAGGGCCCAAGAAGCCAAAGAAGCCACACGAGUCCAGUUCCAAAGCUGUCUGAAUGACCCUGAGAGAACUGCCUACCAAAUUAUGACCAGUUGUGCCAACAGACGUUGA
Molecule: long non-coding RNA, 776 nt
Filed under: Cavia porcellus (domestic guinea pig)
Lineage: Eukaryota; Metazoa; Chordata; Mammalia; Rodentia; Caviidae
Description: lncRNA (ENSCPOG00000035574.1)
Source: RNAcentral